This 223-nucleotide long non-coding RNA is filed under the name Solanum tuberosum (potato). RNAcentral's name for it is "long non-coding RNA (STUB_LNC008974)". Lineage: Eukaryota; Viridiplantae; Streptophyta; Magnoliopsida; Solanales; Solanaceae. The record is from RNAcentral.
UAAAAUUAAACCAUUUCUUUCUAAACCCCGAACUCACCUUCCCAUAAUCUACUAUGUUGGCCCCGGUCCCUACUUGGACAAGUGCACUUCGACUUAGGCCUAAAGCCUAAGUUGAGGGUGGCUAAUGUAAAAAGUAACUUCAAUCUUGGCCCUGACCCGACAUCAGGUAUUGUGCACCUCAACUAAUGGAAAAUCCAUAAGUUCAGGGUGGAUAUGAAAGAGG